This 595-nucleotide ribosomal RNA is filed under the name uncultured bacterium. RNAcentral describes it as "bacterial SSU rRNA". The stretch from base 1 to 516 matches the Rfam family "Bacterial small subunit ribosomal RNA", at positions 338 to 873 of the family's 1533-position model. The record is from RNAcentral.
CCUACGGGAGGCAGCAGUGGGGAAUCUUGCGCAAUGGGCGAAAGCCUGACGCAGCAACGCCGCGUGGGGGAUGAAGGCUUUCGGGUUGUAAACCCCUUUCAGCAGGGACGAAUCAAGACGGUACCUGCAGAAGAAGCCCCGGCUAACUACGUGCCAGCAGCCGCGGUAACACGUAGGGGGCAAGCGUUGUCCGGAUUUAUUGGGCGUAAAGAGCUCGUAGGUGGCUGAGUAAGUCGGGUGUCAAAUCUUCAGGCUCAACCUGGAGCUCCACCCGAUACUGCUCUGGCUAGAGUCCGGUAGGGGAGCGUGGAAUUCCUGGUGUAGCGGUGAAAUGCGCAGAUAUCAGGAGGAACACCAGCGGCGAAGGCGGCGCUCUGGGCCGGUACUGACACUGAGGAGCGAAAGCGUGGGUAGCAAACAGGAUUAGAUACCCUGGUAGUCCACGCGUAACGUAGGCGACUAGUGUGGGUCGUAUCUACGACGUCCGUCGCGUCGCUACGACAUAGUGCCGCCGUCGGGUAGGUACGGCCGCGACGGACGUAAACCUACAAGAAGUAGUAGCGCGAGAGAGCGACGACGACGACGACGGAGGAGG